AGCUCUGGUAGCUUAAUUAACUAAAGCACCG
Molecule: transfer RNA, 31 nt
Filed under: Atlantolacerta andreanskyi
Lineage: Eukaryota; Metazoa; Chordata; Lepidosauria; Squamata; Lacertidae
Description: partial tRNA-Thr
Source: RNAcentral